RNAcentral lists this ribosomal RNA (245 nucleotides) under uncultured bacterium. Its description in RNAcentral is "partial 16S ribosomal RNA". It matches the Rfam family "Bacterial small subunit ribosomal RNA", at positions 524 to 768 of the family's 1533-position model. The record is from RNAcentral.
GACAGAGGUGGCUAGCGUUGUUCGGUGUCACUGGGCUUAAAGCGUGUGUAGGCGGCCUGACAAGUCCGUUGUGAAAUACCCCGGCUUAACCGGGGAACUGCUUCGGAUACUAUCAGGCUUGAGGCAGGUAUGGGUGCGGGGAACUGUUGGUGGAGCGGUGGAAUGCGUAGAUAUCAACAGGAACGCCGGUGGUGAAGACGCUGCACUGGGCCUGCCCUGACGCUGAUACACGAAAGCGUGGGUAU